AUGAUGGACUAUAGGACAGGACUGAUACUGUUAACUAUCUGCUGGGCAGGUGUUGAUGGUCAGACUCUGACUGAAUCUGAACCUGCAGUAAAAAGACCUGGACAAUCCCACAGACUGACCUGUACAACAUCUGGAUUCACAUUCAGCAGCUACCAAAUGAGUUGGAUCAGACAGGCUCCUGGGAAAGGACUGGAGUGGAUCGCUUAUAUAGAUAUAGCCAGUUCUCUGAUCUAUUACUCCUCAUCAGUCCAGGGUAGAUUCACCAUCUCCAGAGACGACUCCAGCAGUAAACUUUAUCUGCAGAUGAACAGUCUGAAGCCAGAGGACACAGCAGUGUAUUACUGUGCUCGAAAUAUGUAUGGAUGA
This is a non-coding RNA of Sphaeramia orbicularis (orbiculate cardinalfish), 366 nucleotides long. The record is from the annotation of a RefSeq genome assembly. NCBI's taxonomy places the organism in Eukaryota, Metazoa, Chordata, Actinopteri, Kurtiformes, Apogonidae.